ACCUGGGAUAGCUCAGUCGGUAGAGCAUGAGAAGACUCUGAAACUCAGGGUUGUGGGUUCGAGUUCCACGUUGGGCA
Podarcis lilfordi (Lilford's wall lizard) is the source of this 77-nucleotide non-coding RNA. The record is from the annotation of a GenBank genome assembly. Lineage: Eukaryota; Metazoa; Chordata; Lepidosauria; Squamata; Lacertidae.